Molecule: ribosomal RNA, 273 nt
Filed under: uncultured bacterium
Lineage: Bacteria
Description: partial 16S ribosomal RNA
Source: RNAcentral
CUGCUGCCUCCCGUAGGAGUCUGGUCCGUGUCUCAGUACCAGUGUGGGGGACCUUCCUCUCAGAACCCCUACGCAUCGUCGCCUUGGUGGGCCGUUACCCCGCCAACUAGCUAAUGCGCCGCAUGCCCAUCCUCCGCCGGGAAUCCGCUUCCUUUUAACACCCGUGGGAUGCCCCACAGAUGUACCACGCGGUAUUAGUCCGGAUUUCUCCGGGUUAUCCCCCUGCGGAGGGCAGGUUGCAUACGUGUUACUCACCCGUGCGCCGGUCGCCGG